Long non-coding RNA from Lutra lutra (Eurasian river otter), 921 nucleotides. RefSeq lists it as uncharacterized. NCBI's taxonomy places the organism in Eukaryota, Metazoa, Chordata, Mammalia, Carnivora, Mustelidae. The transcript has 4 exons. The record is from RefSeq and is a predicted model, not a curated record.
GUAAUAAACUGGCAUUCAGUCUAAACAGCUAUCAUUGCAUAAUUGAUUAACUACUAUAAUUUAUGUCAUUUUAUUUUUUAAAUACUCAAAAUUACAUUUAGAUUUGCAUGUUUAAAUGUGAAAGACAAGGAAAGACUGAAGAACUGUCCUGCAUUGGAGGAGGCUGAGGAAAUAGGAUAACUAAAUCCUGCAUAGGAAUCUGCUUUGGAUCCCAAACAGCAAUCUCCCAGAUAGGGUUGUUCUGUCAACCGGGAUCACAAAAUGAAGAUAAGGUGAAGCAGAAUCACAGCUGAGCAACAGUGGGUAUGCCACAUGGGCAUGAAAUAGAUGUUUAUUGUUGUGUGCCCCUGAGGCCUGAGAGUCAUUUUCUAACGCAGCAUAAAGUAGCCUAUCCUGACUUAUACCGUAACUAUUGAAGGAUUCACUGAUACAAUCAUACCCAGUGCUCUUAAUUUAGGCAUGCCAAAGGUUCGGAUUUUAUUCACAACAAUCCCUGCCCAGCUGAUCUACAGCCUGGCCAUUCCCAAAUGCAGAGGCAACAACGCUCUACAGAAUUCACCUGCUCUUGUCUGAGAUUCCUUGUUAGUGACCUUUCUCUGAUUUUCCAACCCCAUCUUUCCUGAUCAUUCUUGAUCUUUCCUUCUAUGGGUUCUCUCAUAAUUGUGGAGGGCCUAAUCCCUAAUAUAUAUUCCUUAUUCUAUAACGCUCACUGGUUGUGGUUGCCCUUCCCUGAUAGGACCCUCACUGAUACAUAUCUUUAUGAAACAAAGAUACUGAUUCUUUAUAAAAGGAAGUCUUCCUUGAUAUUGACAGAUUAGAGCUUGAGGUGUUUGGCGUAAUGCCAGGACAUUAUGAUCACUUAGUCAUGUUCGGUUAUCAUCCUCAUCUUCAUCGUCGUCCUCUUCCCUCUUGAAAAAUUCA